CCGAACUCAGUUCCCAUACGGCGCAGGGUGGAGGCCACACUCAGGUACAGCAUGAUUCAAUUUUUACUGGCGCAGAUCAUGAAGGCCUCUCAUGUUGAUCCCUCUAAUUUUCAUCCGCAGACAAACUAUUCUCGCCCAGUUGCUCCACUUUCUACAUCUGUCGCGCUCCCUUCAGUUGGAAGUGGAAUUGUCCCCGAGCUUAGUUCUUCCCACACGGCACAGACUGGUGCCCCACCAUCUGCUCAGAGUGUUCCGCCUCUAUAUCAACCUACUGCAUAUGGAUCAGGGCUUGCUGCGCCGGCGUAUCUGCAGGGAUUCUAUGCACCCACGGCCUCAGGUGGCUUGCCUCAUUUGCAGCAGCCACCAUCGCUCCGUCCUCUGGGCCAACCACCUGGCCUACCCUUGCCUCCUUCCAUGCAGCAGCCUCUGCAAUAUCCUGCUGUGAAUCCAUCAGUACCAUCUGGCUCUCACGAUUUACCUUCUGGUUCCCCAUAUUUACCUGGAGCGAGUGCAUCUCCAUCAUUCCCCAGCGCUUUGCCUAGGAUCAGCCCCUCUCCAUCGUCUCAUCCAAAUCUGCCUGGAAUCGGCGCACCGCAGUUGUCUGGAUCAAACAUGGCUUUGCCAUCUGUUUCCACUAACCUGCCCGAGUUUCCUCUGUGGCCACCUGCGGGCUCCGGCCAGAGUUUAACCUCUUCUAAGUUUCCAAGCUUCCCUGAGGCUACUAGUUUAGCUCUUGAUUCGUUACAUAGGCCCCCUUUCACCUCGUUGCCUUCAGCUGCUGCGCCUGUUGCUAGUUUGCCCCCCUUUCCAUCACCGUUAACCUCUCCUCUGGACUCCACAGUAGGCCCGGCCUCAGAGCCCAAGAGUAUUCCAGGUAUUGAUUUGGCUCAGCAAGCGGCAACAUCUCUGUCCGCCCCAAUGGCCUCUGGAUCAUCCAGUUCAGCCCUAACCGAGGCACCAGGGGCCUCUCUAUUGACGUCUGGUCAGCUGCUGCAACCUGGGCCAGCAGCUGUUUCGCCAGCGCAGCCAUCGCAGGUUCGGCAACAGAUCAUGGAGGUUAAUGCAGCGUCAGCAGGGCCGCAGAAGCAGGCUCCGCCAGAAAACAAGGAUGCGAUAUUGCCCUUGCCUGCGCCAUUUGACUACAAGGUACGCAAUUUUUUCUUUACGGCUUUCUCUUCCAUUAACGGGCUUGCUGCUCCUUCUCUGGUUCUUCAAAGAUCGUGAUUCCAUUCAAGUUGAAGAGCAUGCGAUAACGAUGAGAGAUUUGAUGGAGUAUGAUCCUCUCUCUUUCCAGCAGGCUGAAUUUGCUUCGCGCGGCCAUGCCGGCCACAGGCGACGUAGGGGAGGCAGAGGGAACACGGUACCCCCGUUUACUCCUCCCAUCCUCUCUCUUCCAUCGCAGGCUCCCCCAUGUCCAAAGUGGCUAUCAUCCCCGUUGACCUGUGUUUCUUCCCGCGCAGCUUGCUUCCAGUGCGACCCACUUCACGGAAGACUUUGACUUCACGGCGAUGAACGAGAAAUUCAACAAGGAUGAAGUGUGGGGCCACCUCGGCAAGGGCCAUUCUCCGACCGGGGACAACAACGAGGGCUAUCCCAAUGAGGAUCGUCCUGGAUCAUCGGAGCCCAAAACUAAGGCAAGAGAUGCCUUCUUAAACUAGUAACAAUCAUCAUUGCUGUUAUUAUUUUGGAGAAUUGACGUGAUAUCUCUGCCUCCUCCUCCUCCUGAAGCCGGUGUACGUGAAGGACGACUUCUUUGACUCGCUCUCCUGCAACGCAUUCGACCACGCCAGACGGAGGGAGAGAGGCAGGUUCUCUGAGAAGAUGAGGACGAACACUGAGGUAUGAACCCUACUCUCUCUCUCUCUCUCUACUUAAACCGUAUGAAGCUGGCUCCUAUGGUUUCCCUCUCCCAGACAUUUGGUGAAUUUUCGAGGCACCGCCCGGGCCGUGGCGGCGGCGGCGGCGGCGGGCGUGGCUACCGCGGUGGCGGUGGCGGCGGCGGUGGCGGUGGCGGUGGCGGUGGCCGGGGAAGGGGCUUCUUCUAUGGCAGGGGGAAUGAGUAUGUUGGGAGGGGCCAUGGUGGCCACGACCGCCCCGACUAGGAACAAUACUGAGAGAAUGCAUUUUAGGUGAGUGCUGUGAGAAGGAAAAAAAAGAAAGAAAAAGGAAGGAUAUAAGAACGGGGAAGAGUGGGCUGGAUCAUGCAUUCUGUUUCCUAAAGUUUUCUAUUUCCGGGUAGCCUGAGAGAUGCCUAGAAAGGCGUGCAAGCUGACCUUAUUACUCUCUGAACAAUCCACCUUGAGUCCUUUCUCCAUGGAAAAAAAUCAUUUUAGAAAAAAAAACAGCCCAAUAAUUAAAACUCUCUCUAUGGGGGGGGGGGGGAUGGUCUGUACUUUCUUUCUUUCUUUCUUUAUUUUUUAAUAUUUAAUUUAUGUGCAAUUUUAAUGCUCGUUGUCGUGUGGGCAUUUGAGGAGAAAAAUGUUUUCAGGUAGGCGACUUGUUUAUUUCUGCCAUUUAAGAGUGUUGAAAAGGCACAAUUAGAGAAAAACCCAGAUAAGGGGGGAGAAUUACAAAGUCGAGGCAAAUCUGAACCUAUUUUCACAUGUACUUCCGUCGGAGGAUAUAAUAUCAAUGAUUGUGAGACGGGGACGUAUGCACGUCGUCCCGUACGUACGUCCGUACAAAGAGCAGGGCAGCGUGAGGCUGUGUGCUGGUGAAGCUCC
This 2723-nucleotide long non-coding RNA is filed under the name Spirodela polyrhiza (greater duckweed). RNAcentral describes it as "long non-coding RNA (SPOL_LNC000805)". Lineage: Eukaryota; Viridiplantae; Streptophyta; Magnoliopsida; Alismatales; Araceae. The record is from RNAcentral.